GUUUUGCAGGGAAUUCCUGAGCAUAGCACAAUAGCGCUGAGCAUUCACAAUGCACAACUGGCUGAUACUGAAAGCAGCAGGUUGUCGUGCAUUACAAAUCUCUAACUGCCUUGGGUGCAAAUCUCUCAAUGACUCCGUUCCAGCGCAAUUUGUAUCACAGACACACAAGGGGGUUCAGUAGAGGGGUGUCAGAGAACCUGCACACCUGAUAACUUCGAUACCAUCACAUCAAACAUCUCACACGUACAUUGGAAAUACGCAUUGUACCUCCAGGUCGAUUAUUGAAAUGUACUAUAUAUAUUUUUGCAGCCUUCACGUCUAUGUUCCUAGUUUUUAAUGGAC
Molecule: non-coding RNA, 342 nt
Organism: Pelobates cultripes (western spadefoot toad)
Lineage: Eukaryota; Metazoa; Chordata; Amphibia; Anura; Pelobatidae
Source: the annotation of a GenBank genome assembly